AAAGGCUGCGGUAUUUUGACCGUACAAAGGUAGCAUAAUCAUUAGUUUUUUAAUUGAAAGCUUGUAUGAAUGGUUUAACGAAAUAUUAGCUGUUUCAUGGAAAUUUAUAUAGAAAUUAAUUUUUUAGUCAAAAAGCUGAAAUAAAAUUAAAAGACGAGAAGACCCUAUAGAGUUUUAUAUUAAAGUUUUUAUAUUUUAUUUAUAAUAAUUUAAAUUUUAUUAAUUUUUAUAUUUUGUUGGGGUGACAAUAAAAUUUUAAUACCUUUUAUUAUUUUUUAAACAAUGAUUUUUGGGAAAUUGAUCCAUUUUUAGUGAUUAUAAGAUUAAAUUACCUUAGGGAUAACAGCG
This 348-nucleotide ribosomal RNA is filed under the name Pseudobrachypeza helvetica. RNAcentral's name for it is "partial 16S ribosomal RNA". Lineage: Eukaryota; Metazoa; Arthropoda; Insecta; Diptera; Mycetophilidae. The record is from RNAcentral.